GCAAACGGGUGAGUAAUAUAUAGGAAUCUACCUAGCAGUAAGGAAUAACUCUGGGAAACCAGAGCUAAUGCCAUAUAUUACCGAUUAGUUAACUCUAGUCGGGAAAGAUUUAUCGCUGUUAGAUGAGCCUGUAUCAGAUUAGCUUGUUGGUGGGGUAAUGGCCUACCAAGGCGAUGAUCUGUAGCUGGUCUGAGAGGAUGAUCAGCCACACUGGGACUGCGACACGGCCCAGACUCC
RNAcentral lists this ribosomal RNA (237 nucleotides) under uncultured bacterium. RNAcentral's name for it is "partial 16S ribosomal RNA". It matches the Rfam family "Bacterial small subunit ribosomal RNA", at positions 98 to 339 of the family's 1533-position model. The record is from RNAcentral.